CAGUGCCAGCCCCCAAGUCCCACUGCCUACCACCCAGUGGUCCAUUCAAAUUAUAAUAGAUUAAUGCAUGGAGGAGUUUACAGCUCUCAUUUCACCUCUGAACAUUGCUACCUUGCCAAACACAUGAGCUCUUUAGGGGAUAUUUUUAGAUCCAAACUACAACAACUCAGAAUAAUUCUCAUACAAGCCCAUCCGAAUGUGAAAACUGACAUGUCAUUUCAACAUUGUCUAGAAGAAUGAAAAAAUGGAACUAUCCAUCAGGAGAAAAGAAAACAUUUGGUUGCACAGUAAUACAAUGAACAACAAUGAAUGAAUGAAGAACUAUACCAUGGAUUAAUGUGGAAACAAAAGGUUUCCCAGAAAAUCAUGUGUGAAGAAAUGGAGACACCGGAUAAAGAAAAGACAGUUCACAAUGUCAAAAUAAGAGGCUGACUAUUACUGGAGUCUGUAGUCAUGGGAUAAAAUGGAAUAACAAUAGGUGAAGUAUGAAACUACACUGGAAAUAGAACAACCUCUCACUGGAAAGAAAGUGGGGACAUACCAGAGAUUCUUUCCCAAAGUAAGUAUUGUCACAUCCACCUCCAAAGUGGGAAUAAAUCACAGUUACUUUCUGAUGUUGGGCCAGUGGCUCCUCUACCCCAGGUGUGUUUCUGCCAUUCAUGGACAAUUGUUAGCAAAUCACUUUCCUUUAAUAUCACCUCUAUAUAAAAAAAAGGUGCCUCUUUGUGACUGUCAAUGUGGAUGUUGCAAUUCUCAUAAAACAUCAGAAAAGGAAGUGAUUGACAGUGGUUCGGUGUGCUGGAGGUUGAAGAGUGGCAAGGAGGAGAGAUCCAAGAUGGUGGCGUAAAAGAGGUUGCAUUCCUGGUUGCUCCACAGCUCAAAACCAAGAAAGCAAACAGGCAGCUUCUAGCAAGGUGAAGAAAUUGUGGUUUGGAGAGACAAAGUGAUAUGUCCCAAUUCAUCCACUUGGUUGGAGAUGGCGAUGAAAUGUGAACCCAGAUCCAUGACAUGGAUCAAUUCCCUCCACAUGGCAUUGUUUCCAACAUGCUUCGUGGUGUGACAGGUGGCUCCUGCAAAGGUCCCUGGAAGGCUCAUGAAUCAUGAGAAGUUAUCAUUGUAGUUUUUGGUGGACACAACAUCUUUGUUUGUAUGUGGUGCUGAGGAUCGAACCCGGGCCACACUCAUGCCAGGCGAGCACGCUAUAGUUUUGAAGAUCACAUAUUCCUACUUAUUCCACUUCAGGUGAGAGGACACCAUCCAAAAGAAGCAGGUCUUCCUCUGUGUUGCAUCAGACCAUAUUAGUGACAUUAGAAGACACCAGAUUCAAGUUGGUUGAUAGGAUACAAGUAAGUGUUUGACACCUGAAACACAGCAUCUGAAUUUUGUUCUAAUUUCAUUUAUACAGAAUAAAAUGACUAUGGGAAUCUGAACUCUUCAAUGUGCAGCCAAGUCAGCAAUCUGUAAUUUCUCUGCCCUAAAUCAUAAAUAGACUAAUGAAACAUGAUAGGUCAAAUUAUAAGACAGUAUAAAUUUCGGGUUUAAAACAUUAUUUUGAAAGGAUUCCAUCUGCAUCAAUGUGUUAAGAUGCAAUAAUUAACUUUAUAGGUUUGUUUGAAAGCUAUUAUUUAUGAAACACCAUAAGGAAUGAUUCUGUGUUCCUCAUGGCACUAAUUUUGCAAAUCCCUGGAAAAUCUCCUUUAAUUAUUAAAAUUUCACAAGCUUUUCCCCUGGAUCAGGACUAGAUCAUUUUCUACUGUUUCAUAUUUUUGGAGUUAAAUUCACAUUAGGGCUCUCUUCACUACCUAGCAUCCAUAUUUUUUGGACUAGGGCUGCUUUUUAUACUGUUUUUAACAUCACUAAAAGAUAUUCUAUCAAUUCUUCUCAGAAUAAAUGACAUUCACUUAUUUCUGUAUCAAAUACUGACUGGUUGAAUGUGAUGCCAUUGAAAAUGUAAUCUAUGUUCAACUCCAAGAUGAUAGUAAAAGGCACUGGAAGAGGAAAAAAUUAAAAAAAUAUUCAAUCCUUGGUAUGAUAGAUUCUUAAAAUGAUACAAACUUGAGCUUAAUGAGACGUAUCCUUAGCAAAAAUUUGAUGGGGGUGGUGAAGAAACUGCAGUACUAUUUACUAAAUUCUUUGCUUACUUAAAUAUAAUAUUUUAAAUCCAUAUAGAAAUAAUCAAUGUGCCUUCUUUUUAUUUUUUUUUAUUUUUUUUUUAAUUUUUUAUUGUUGGUUAUUCAAAACAUUACAAAUUUCUUGACAUAUCAUAUUCCACACUUUGAUUCAAGUGGGUUAUGAACUCCCACCUUCACCCCAUACACAGAUUGCAGAAUCACAUCAGUUACACAUCCAUUGAUUUACAUA
Long non-coding RNA from Marmota monax (woodchuck), 2361 nucleotides. RefSeq lists it as uncharacterized. Lineage: Eukaryota; Metazoa; Chordata; Mammalia; Rodentia; Sciuridae. The transcript has 5 exons. The record is from RefSeq and is a predicted model, not a curated record.